CUUGAUUAAACCAUAAGAGGUCCAGCCUGCCCAGUGACAUUGUUCAACGGCCGCGGUAUCCUAACCGUGCGAAGGUAGCGUAAUCACUUGUCCUUUAAAUGAAGACUAGUAUGAAUGGCCCCACGAAAGCUAUACUGUCUCCUUUUUCAAAUCAGUUAAACUAAUCUCCCCGUGAAGAAGCGGGGAUAAACAUAUAAGACGAGAAGACCCUAUGGAGCUUCAAACAACUGAAACACUUGUAUAUCCUCCCCUCACCUGCCAACAUUUAACCUCACAUUUUUGUUUCUAGUUUUAGGUUGGGGUGACCACGGAGAAAAAACUAACCUCCACGACGAAAGAGACAUCUCUAAACAAAAAGCUACAUCUUUAUGUAUUAACACAUUAACCUUUAUUGACCCA
This 399-nucleotide ribosomal RNA is filed under the name Anomaloglossus baeobatrachus. RNAcentral's name for it is "partial large subunit ribosomal RNA". It matches the Rfam family "Bacterial large subunit ribosomal RNA", at positions 1822 to 2422 of the family's 2925-position model. Lineage: Eukaryota; Metazoa; Chordata; Amphibia; Anura; Aromobatidae. The record is from RNAcentral.